CAGUAGCCACGGGAAUACGUAGGUGGCAAGCGUUGUCCGGAAUUAUUGGGCGUAAAGGGCUCGCAGGCGGUUUCUUAAGUCUGAUGUGAAAGCCCCCGGCUCAACCGGGGAGGGUCAUUGGAACCUGGGAAACUUGAGUGCAGAAGAGGAGAGUGGAAUUCCACGUGUAGCGGUGAAAUGCGUAGAGAUGUGGAGGAACACCAGUGGCGAAGGCGACUCUCUGGUCUGUAACUGACGCUGAGGAGCGAAAGCGUGGGGAGCGAACAGGAUUAGAUACCCGAGUAGUCCCUGUCUCUUAUAC
RNAcentral lists this ribosomal RNA (301 nucleotides) under uncultured bacterium. RNAcentral's name for it is "partial 16S ribosomal RNA". It matches the Rfam family "Bacterial small subunit ribosomal RNA", at positions 509 to 807 of the family's 1533-position model. The record is from RNAcentral.